This 376-nucleotide unclassified non-coding RNA is filed under the name uncultured Sphingomonadaceae bacterium. RNAcentral's name for it is "contains 16S-23S intergenic spacer region". Lineage: Bacteria; Pseudomonadati; Pseudomonadota; Alphaproteobacteria; Sphingomonadales; Sphingomonadaceae. The record is from RNAcentral.
UCCGGCUUAUCACCGGCGGUUUCCUUAGAGUGCCCAACUGAAUGAUGGCAACUAAGGACGAGGGUUGCGCUCGUUGCGGGACUUAACCCAACAUCUCACGACACGAGCUGACGACAGCCAUGCAGCACCUGUCACCGCGUCCCCGAAGGGAACCCCCGAUCUCUCUGGAUAGCGCGGGAUGUCAAAGGCUGGUAAGGUUCCUCGCGUAUCAUCGAAUUAAACCACAUGCUCCUCCGCUUGUGCGGGCCCCCGUCAAUUCCUUUGAGUUUCACCGUUGCCGGCGUACUCCCCAGGUGGAUAACUUAAUGCGUUAGCUGCGCCACCGAUAGCCUAAGGCCCCCGACAGCUAGUUAUCAUCGUUUACGGCGUGGACUAC